UACAGAGGUCUCAAGCGUUGUUCGGAUUCAUUGGGCGUAAAGGGCUCGUAGGCGGCCAACUAAGUCAGACGUGAAAUCCCUCAGCUUAACUGGGGAACUGCGUCUGAUACUGGAUGGCUUGGAUUCGGGAGAGGAAUGCGGAAUUCCAGGUGUAGCGGUGAAAUGCGUAGAUAUCUGGAGGAACACCGGUGGCGAAGGCGGCAUUCUGGACCGAUAUUGACGCUGAGGAGCGAAAGCCAGGGGAGCAAACGGG
Molecule: ribosomal RNA, 253 nt
Filed under: uncultured bacterium
Lineage: Bacteria
Description: partial 16S ribosomal RNA
Rfam family: Bacterial small subunit ribosomal RNA
Source: RNAcentral